UACGUAGGGGGCAAGCGUUAUCCGGAUUUACUGGGUGUAAAGGGAGCGUAGACGGUUAUGCAAGUCAGAAGUGAAAGCCCAAAGCUCAACUUCGGGGCUGCUUUUGAAACUGUGUAACUAGAGUGCAGGAGGGGUAAGCGGAAUUCCUAGUGUAGCGAUGAAAUGCGUAGAUAUUAGGAGGAACACCGGCGGCGAAGGCGGCUUACUGGACUGUAACUGACACUGAGGCACGAAAGCGUGGGGAGCAAACAGG
This 253-nucleotide ribosomal RNA is filed under the name uncultured bacterium. Its description in RNAcentral is "partial 16S ribosomal RNA". It matches the Rfam family "Bacterial small subunit ribosomal RNA", at positions 524 to 776 of the family's 1533-position model. The record is from RNAcentral.